RNAcentral lists this small RNA (791 nucleotides) under Arabidopsis thaliana (thale cress). Its description in RNAcentral is "ATSL274090". The record is from RNAcentral. Lineage: Eukaryota; Viridiplantae; Streptophyta; Magnoliopsida; Brassicales; Brassicaceae.
CAACUAGGACAUUGAUUUCAUCUGGUUUAUCUGGUGCUUUGGCUCUGAGUCCCCGCUUUUUGAGUCCCCGCUUUCAAACUUCACCUCCAGCUCUGAGGACAAGCAAAAACUAAGUUUGGGGGAGUUGAUAAGUGUGUAUUUUGCAUGUUUUGAGCAUCCAUUUGUCAUCAUUUUAACAUCAUAUCAUCACUGUUUUAUACCAUUUCUCAUCAUUUGUCAUCACUUUCCAUGUUUAGGAUAGUUUUGCAUGCAUGCUGCAUAUUUGUGUUGAUUUCAGGUGAUUUGGAGCUGUUGACGAGCUGACUGGAAGAAGCAGACCUGAUCAUGUCAAACCACUCGACUCUGAGGUCGAGUAGAAGCUUCAAGACCUCAACAGACCACUCGACCCCCUGGUCGAGUAUGGGACUUCACGAUUUCAUCUCAUCACUCGACCCCCUGGCCGAGUACCACCACGAUUGAUACUCGAUCACUUCACUCGACCCCCAGGUCGAGUGUCUUCAGCUCCACCACCUGACCAUCACUCGAUCACACCACUCUACCUGGAAGUCGAGUAUCACCAUCACCACCACUCGACUACAUACUCGAUGUCGAGCUUCAGAGUCUUUUCCAUUUCGCACUCAACCACACACUCGAGCACAAGGAAGAAAAGAAGACUCCAGCUAUUCACUCGACCUCUCACUCGACCACCUGGGUCGAGUACAGUUCUUAAUCCGUCCCAAUACUGCGUCGUUUUGAGUAUUAGGAUUUCAGAAUAUUUUGCUAUAAGUAGCAUGUACUUUCCAUUUUCGAGA